UUACAAUGGCAGGUACAGCGGGAAGCCACCCGGCGACGGGGCGCGGAACCCGAAAGCCUGUCUCAGUUCGGAUUGGAGUCUGCAACCCGACUCCAUGAAGCUGGAUUCGCUAGUAAUCGCGCAUCAGCCACGGCGCGGUGAAUACGUUCCCGGGCCUUGUACACACCGCCCGUCAAGCCAUGGAAGCCGGGGGUGCCUGAAGUGCGUGACCGCAAGGAGCGCCCUAGGGUAAAACCGGUGACUGGGGCUAAGUCGUAACAAGGUAAC
RNAcentral lists this ribosomal RNA (267 nucleotides) under uncultured bacterium. RNAcentral's name for it is "partial 16S ribosomal RNA". It matches the Rfam family "Bacterial small subunit ribosomal RNA", at positions 1225 to 1500 of the family's 1533-position model. The record is from RNAcentral.